This 73-nucleotide ribosomal RNA is filed under the name Flavobacteriaceae bacterium. Its description in RNAcentral is "partial 16S ribosomal RNA". The record is from RNAcentral. Lineage: Bacteria; Pseudomonadati; Bacteroidota; Flavobacteriia; Flavobacteriales; Flavobacteriaceae.
UAUUAAAAAACUACAACGAAGAGUUUGAUCCUGGCUCAGGAUGAACGCUAGCGGCAGGCUUAACACAUGCAAG